RNAcentral lists this ribosomal RNA (253 nucleotides) under uncultured bacterium. Its description in RNAcentral is "partial 16S ribosomal RNA". It matches the Rfam family "Bacterial small subunit ribosomal RNA", at positions 524 to 776 of the family's 1533-position model. The record is from RNAcentral.
UACGUAGGGGGCAAGCGUUGUCCGGAAUCAUUGGGCGUAAAGCGCGCGUAGGCGGCCCGGUAAGUCCGUUGUAAAAGUCGAAGGCUCAACCUUCGAAAGCCGAUGGAUACUGCCGGGCUAGAGUCCGGAAGAGGCGAGUGGAAUUCCUGGUGUAGCGGUGGAAUGCGCAGAUAUCAGGAGGAACACCCAUAGCGAAGGCAGCUCGCUGGGACGGUACUGACGCUGAGACGCGAAAGCGUGGGGAGCGAACAGG